Molecule: long non-coding RNA, 182 nt
Organism: Zea mays
Lineage: Eukaryota; Viridiplantae; Streptophyta; Magnoliopsida; Poales; Poaceae
Exons: 3
Source: RefSeq, a predicted model, not a curated record
UUGUUUCAGAGUGAGCUGCUGGCUGCCGAGAUCAAUUACAUGGCCAAAAGGGAGAAUGAGCUUCAGAAUGACCACAUGAACCUCAGGACCAAGGACCCAAGAACAUGCCCUACAGGCCACCGACCAGAAGAUCAACCUGCAGGACACCAAGAACAUGCCCUACAGGCCGCUCAAGUGCCAGU